RNAcentral lists this ribosomal RNA (981 nucleotides) under Pseudomonas aeruginosa. RNAcentral describes it as "partial 16S ribosomal RNA". It matches the Rfam family "Bacterial small subunit ribosomal RNA", at positions 532 to 1533 of the family's 1533-position model. Lineage: Bacteria; Pseudomonadati; Pseudomonadota; Gammaproteobacteria; Pseudomonadales; Pseudomonadaceae. The record is from RNAcentral.
GGGGAUACGGUAAUCGGAUACUGGGCGUAAGCGCGCGCAGGUGGUUCGCAAGUUGGAUGUGAAAUCCCCGGGCUCAACCUGGGAACUGCAUCCUUAACUACUGAGCUAGAGUGCGGUAGAGGGUGGUGGAAUUUCCUGUGUAGCGGUGAAAUGCGUAGAUAUGCGAAGGAACACCAAUGGCGAAGGCGACCUCCUGGACUGAUACUGACACUGAUGUGCGAAAGCGUGGGGAGCAAACAGGAUUAGAUACCCUGGUAGUCCACGCCGUAAACGAUGUCAACUAGCUGUUGGGAUCCUUGAGAUCUUAUUGGCGCACCUAACGCUAUAAUUCAACCGCCGGGGAAGUACGGCCGCAAAGUUAAAACUCAAAUGAAUUGACGGGAGCCCGCCCAACCGGGGAAGAAGGUGAUUUAAUUCAAACCAACGCGAAAAACCUUACCUGGCCUUGACUGGCUGAAAACUUUCCAAAAAUGGAUUGUUGUCUUCGGAAACUCAGACACAGGUGCUGCAUGGCUGUCCUCCGCUCCUGGCCUGAAAAGUUGGGUUAAGUCCCGUAACGAGCGCAACCCUUGUCCUUAGUUGCUACACCUCGGGUGGGCACUCUAAUGAGACUGCCGGUGACAAACCAGAGGAAGGUGGAGGAUGACGUCUAGUCAUCAUGGCCCUUACGGCUUCGGCUACUCACGUGCGACCAUGGUCGGUACAAAGGGUUGCCAAGCCGCGAGGUGGACCUAAUCCCAUAAUACCGAUCGUAGACCGGAUCUGAGUCUCCACUCGACUGCGUGAAAUCGGAAUCGCUCGUAAACCUGAAUCUCAAUGUCACGGUGAAUACGUUCCCGGGCCUUGUCACACGGCCAGUCUGCCAUGGGAUUGAUUGAUCCAGAUAUACUAAUCUAACGCGAGGGAUACGUUACCACGGAUUGAUCGUGAUGAGGACACAACCCCCCCCCACCCCCCAAAAAAAAAAAAAGAAAAAAAGGG